AUGCAGUGUGGGAAGAAAGAAGUAAUGGGACUGCGUAUCCAAGCAAUUGCUGCCAUGGACUCCUUCGUACAACCUUGUAAGCGAAAAAAAAGUUGCAGUGUGCCUGUACAAAGAACUAGCGUUAGCCCAAGAUCAAAGAGCGAGGUCCCCAUGGACGUUGCAUCAUCCCACAGCAGUGGCACCGGCCCAAUCAUGCAUUAUGAAUUGCCAGCUGCUGAUGCUCUAGAGGCUAAACUAGUGGUAGAAAAAGAUUCUGUUUCCGCACUUAGAGAUGAAGUUGACAUGUUGGGGAAGCAAACAGCACAAUCACAAGCAGUACUCAAGACAACCAUUAAAUAUUUGGUGGAUUUCAAAACGAAGCAAGCUGAGACUGACCAGAUUGUUAAGGUCCUGAAGGAAAAAUGA
This 405-nucleotide ribosomal RNA is filed under the name Triticum aestivum (bread wheat). RNAcentral describes it as "partial small subunit ribosomal RNA". The record is from RNAcentral. Lineage: Eukaryota; Viridiplantae; Streptophyta; Magnoliopsida; Poales; Poaceae.